UACGUAGGGCGCAAGCGUUGUCCGGAAUUAUUGGGCGUAAAGCGCGUGUAGGCGGCUUUGCAAGUCGGGUGUGAAAGCCCUCAGCUCAACUGAGGAAGUGCGCCCGAAACUGCAGAGCUUGAGUGCCGGAGAGGGUGGCGGAACUCCCCAAGUAGAGGUGAAAUUCGUAGAUAUGGGGAGGAACACCGGUGGCGAAGGCGGCCACCUGGACGGGUAACUGACGCUGAGACGCGAAAGCGUGGGGAGCAAACAGG
This 254-nucleotide ribosomal RNA is filed under the name uncultured bacterium. RNAcentral describes it as "partial 16S ribosomal RNA". It matches the Rfam family "Bacterial small subunit ribosomal RNA", at positions 524 to 776 of the family's 1533-position model. The record is from RNAcentral.